This 596-nucleotide ribosomal RNA is filed under the name Trichoderma asperellum. Its description in RNAcentral is "eukaryotic LSU rRNA". The stretch from base 209 to 362 matches the Rfam family "5.8S ribosomal RNA". The record is from RNAcentral. Lineage: Eukaryota; Fungi; Ascomycota; Sordariomycetes; Hypocreales; Hypocreaceae.
UUGGUGACCAGCGGAGGGAUCAUUACCGAGUUUACAACUCCCAAACCCAAUGUGAACGUUACCAAACUGUUGCCUCGGCGGGGUCACGCCCCGGGUGCGUCGCAGCCCCGGAACCAGGCGCCCGCCGGAGGAACCAACCAAACUCUUUCUGUAGUCCCCUCGCGGACGUAUUUCUUACAGCUCUGAGCAAAAAUUCAAAAUGAAUCAAAACUUUCAACAACGGAUCUCUUGGUUCUGGCAUCGAUGAAGAACGCAGCGAAAUGCGAUAAGUAAUGUGAAUUGCAGAAUUCAGUGAAUCAUCGAAUCUUUGAACGCACAUUGCGCCCGCCAGUAUUCUGGCGGGCAUGCCUGUCCGAGCGUCAUUUCAACCCUCGAACCCCUCCGGGGGAUCGGCGUUGGGGAUCGGGACCCCUCACACGGGUGCCGGCCCCUAAAUACAGUGGCGGUCUCGCCGCAGCCUCUCCUGCGCAGUAGUUUGCACAACUCGCACCGGGAGCGCGGCGCGUCCACGUCCGUAAAACACCCAACUUUCUGAAAUGUUGACCUCGGAUCAGGUAGGAAUACCCGCUGAACUUAAGCAUAUCAAUAAGGCGGAG